GCCCGGCUAGCUCAAUCGGUAGAGCGUGAGACUCUUAAGUAAUCUCAAGGUUGCGGGUUCGACCCCCGCGUCGGGCU
RNAcentral lists this transfer RNA (77 nucleotides) under Thermochaetoides thermophila DSM 1495. RNAcentral describes it as "Chaetomium thermophilum var. thermophilum DSM 1495 tRNA-Lys". It matches the Rfam family "tRNA". Rfam says of the family: Transfer RNA (tRNA) molecules are approximately 80 nucleotides in length. Their secondary structure includes four short double-helical elements and three loops (D, anti-codon, and T loops). Further hydrogen bonds mediate the characteristic L-shaped molecular structure. tRNAs have two regions of fundamental functional importance: the anti-codon, which is responsible for specific mRNA codon recognition, and the 3' end, to which the tRNAs corresponding amino acid is attached (by aminoacyl-tRNA synthetases). tRNAs cope with the degeneracy of the genetic code in two manners: having more than one tRNA (with a specific anti-codon) for a particular amino acid; and 'wobble' base-pairing, i.e. permitting non-standard base-pairing at the 3rd anti-codon position. The record is from RNAcentral. Lineage: Eukaryota; Fungi; Ascomycota; Sordariomycetes; Sordariales; Chaetomiaceae.